AGCGACGCAGACUUGGACCAGUAGCUGCCGAGGGAAGAUAUCCGCCCUCCCGAAGGCGUUGGUGAGCUGGCCAAUGAGAAAGCGCCCCCGCGAUGGGUGGGGUCGAGACAUGUGGUACCAAACCGGCGGCUCGCGGAGAGGGGGUGUGCCGCCUGAGGCAAUAAGGCCCUAGUGUGACGACCAGGAAAGCAAGAACGGAAUGCCAACACUAUGCCAGGCAAAAAGGUUGAAAGGCCUCUGGUGCCAUUGCUGUUCUUUGAAAAACUCACCGUGCGACGUUCUUCGUGACUGAACAGACAUCUCGGGAUCCCUCGAGAGAGUCGAUUCAUCAUUCGACAGGUGUUUCCACGUGUGUGGAGGACCUUUUGCAUACCAGGCAUGCGAUUUUGACCCAAGCAGACUUGAUAGCUACCUUCAUAAAGCUCCCAGUCUAAUGAGGCGGAAGAGGGAGAAAACAAAGAGGGCCCCAACAGGAGAAUCUUGCAGGGGAGAGGGAAACAUUUUUUUCUUUUCCUGAAUUAGAAUCAGCAGCUUUCCAGGUCCUCCCUGUCCGUCUCCACCUGCCUUCUGACCUGGGAGGCUGACCUGAGCGGCCUGAAUCAGCUCUUGGCUGAUGGGGCUCCAGGAAGGGGCAAGGAAUGUGAGUAAUGUGGACGAUUUCCUGGCCUCUUUGGAGGUUUAAGAUCUUUCGCCAGUGUUCAGUACUUCUGUGCAAAUUGUUCUACAUGGAGGUGAGUUGUUUAUGUGUUUGUGGGAGAAGGUGAGCACCGCAUCCUGGAGCUCUUCCCUGCCA
Non-coding RNA from Sus scrofa (pig), 793 nucleotides. The record is from RefSeq and is a predicted model, not a curated record. NCBI's taxonomy places the organism in Eukaryota, Metazoa, Chordata, Mammalia, Artiodactyla, Suidae.